UAGUUGGUGGGGUAAAGGCCUACCAAGGCGACGAUCUGUAGCGGGUCUGAGAGGGUGAUCCGCCACACUGGAACUGAGACACGGUCCAGACUCCUACGGGAGGCAGCAGUGGGGAAUUUUGGACAAUGGGGGCAACCCUGAUCCAGCCAUGCCGCGUGAGUGAAGAAGGCCUUCGGGUUGUAAAGCUCUUUCGUCCGGGAAGAAAUCGCACAGGCUAAUACUCUGUGUGGAUGACGGUACCGGAAUAAGAAGCACCGGCUAACUACGUGCCAGCAGCCGCGGUAAUACGUAGGGUGCGAGCGUUAAUCGGAAUUACUGGGCGUAAAGCGUGCGCAGGCGGUUUUGUAAGACAGGCGUGAAAUCCCCGGGCUCAACCUGGGAACUGCGCUUGUGACUGCAAGGCUAGAGUACGGCAGAGGGGGGUGGAAUUCCACGUGUAGCAGUGAAAUGCGUAGAGAUGUGGAGGAACACCGAUGGCGAAGGCAGCCCCCUGGGCCGAUACUGACGCUCAUGCACGAAAGCGUGGGUAGCAAACAGGAUUAGAUACCCUGGUAGUCCACGCCCUAAACGAUGUCAACUAGGUGUUGGGUGGGUAAAACCAUUUAGUACCGUAGCUAACGCGUGAAGUUGACCGCCUGGGGAGUACGGCCGCAAGGUUAAAACUCAAAGGAAUUGACGGGGACCCGCACAAGCGGUGGAUGAUGUGGAUUAAUUCGAUGCAACGCGAAAAACCUUACCUACCCUUGACAUGUCCGGAAUCCCUGAGAGAUUGGGGAGUGCCCGAAAGGGAAUCGGAACACAGGUGCUGCAUGGCUGUCGUCAGCUCGUGUCGUGAGAUGUUGGGUUAAGUCCCGCAACGAGCGCAACCCUUGUCGUUAAUUGCCAUCAUUAAGUUGGGCACUUUAGCGAGACUGCCGG
This 918-nucleotide ribosomal RNA is filed under the name uncultured bacterium. RNAcentral's name for it is "bacterial SSU rRNA". It matches the Rfam family "Bacterial small subunit ribosomal RNA", at positions 246 to 1155 of the family's 1533-position model. The record is from RNAcentral.